GCCAGCGGCGAGCACUGGCUUGCUUCACAGUGAACGCCUUCGUUGCCUGGCGACUAGUCCCUGCGGCUUAGCGGAGAGGGGGCGUCGGCGUUGGGCUCUCGCCUGUCUUCUCUGGGGGGAUCCUCGGGAUACUCCCACGAUCUAGGACAGGGCAGGGGCGAGCCAGCCUGAGGAAACGUCAAGGGAAGGCCCAGGGAUACACCGCGAAAUCCCUAAGAAUCCAAAAGGAUCCGCAGGAGGCGUCAGGCCUGCCUAGACGGAGUGGGUAGCACUUAGCACCUGCCCGCCCUCCACCUUCUCCACCACCCAGCAGGAGCGGGGCGGCCUGGAUCUGUUUUCUGCCCCUGACCAGGGGGCCGCGUCUUCGGCAAAGUCUUCGGGGUGAGAGGUCCGGCUCCUGGAGGACAGCGGGAUGGGAGAGUCCCGUUCACACCCAGCCCCGCAGAGCCGGAUAGAAACGCUGCCACUGCCGACUCCAUGCUGCCGGGAAGUGCACUGUGGAGGCCACUUUCUGGAAAGAAGAAACCGUCUGAACACAAAGUUGCUCAAGCCAUGUUCAUCUAUCUGCCAGGGAAACGGAGGCCCUGAGUGCCAGAGUCCAAGUCACCCUGCAAGAGAAAACUCUGGUGGAGCCCAGGGUGUCCAGCCCCUGUCCACCCAGCCGCCGUGGUCAAGGUUAAUAAGGGCAAGGGGCCAAGCAGAACCGCCUACAAGGAACCGAGUGUCCACAAAGCAGGAAGCGAAGAACGUUUCUCCUACCUAGAGCGCAGCCGUUUUGCGGAAGGCACAGUCCGGGCUCCGGGAGCCAAGCAGGGAUCCGGGCCUCGUUGCGGAGGGGACGCCCGGGCUGAGCUGAGCUCACUUGCUGGCGGCGGCAGCCCCUGCAGUCAUGGGGUCACCGGCUUGUGGAGAGGGGCUGGCGCUGUUCCUUGGCCCCGCUCCCCGCCCGCAAAGGGCCGGGAGGUCGGGCUCCCGGCAGUGUCCAGGCUCUCGCCCGCCGGUGCCUGAGCCGUACCCACCGCGUCCCCUCCGCCCCAACAGCUGGUGCUGAGGGUCCGGCCCGGGGUCAUCUGGCAGGGCCGUGCGGCUCCUGCGGGUGACCAGGAGCGCGGAGCCCCUUCCCACUCGGGCUCGGGUGGCCUCACCUUUCCUGGGGCUGCGUCCCCGCGGGACGCCAGGUUCCCGGUUUCUUCUAGGUCGCCCUGGUUCCUGGCAGCUCCUGGUGCCACGCGGUCCUCUACGGUCUCCUCUGACCUGAGAGGGACAGUGAGAUGGGGCUGGCGGGGAUGGGGGUCCCCGCGCUGUUGGAAAGCAGCGGGGCUGCUGCUGACCGGAGCCGCCUGGGUCUGUUCUGGAACCGUCGCCCUGGGGCCCCUCCGCCCCGCAAACGCUCGGGAUGCGGUUUGGGAGUGUAGCUGGACACCGAGCACCAUCCACGCUCAGCCCCACGGGGCUCCAGGAGUCCCGAGCCCAAGCCCCUGCACUUGCAUUUUAUUUAAAAAACCUGAGGGUUAAAUUCGGGCAAGUCAGUUGCCUCAGUGUUUGUCGCCUGCUGCCUCUAUGUCGGCUUCUUUUGCUGGCAGUCAGAGACCAAGCCCCCACGCCCUCCAGGACCCUCUAUCUGGUGAGGCCACCUCUGCAAUCAUGAGCAGCACUGAGGUGCUUCCGACCAGGGGUCACUGCCCCAGCCGGUGAGAGGCCCUGCAGUGGGGACUGGAGAUGUGCGACGCAGCCUCCCAGAGCCCGCAUCCUCUUGCCCAAGGAGGCUGCACACCCUCACUCAGGGCUGUGAGGGGGAAUGAGGGCAGCUCACAGGCUAAGGGGCCGCUGAAGACAGGUUUUGUGGACAGGUGAUUUAGGAGCCUGGAGGAAGCAGAAAUCUUUAGAGAUGGAUCAUUUUCCUUACAAGAAUAGAUACCAGGUAAGAGAAGCAGCCUUUAAAGCAGCGAAUAGCAGCUCAUGCAUGCUAAUUAUUUGCUUACUUCUCUGGCUCCCCUAUUGAUGGCAUCUUGAGGGCCGGUAUGAACAUGUCAUGCAGUCUCCAAGCAACCCACAGUAGGCCCACCAUAAACAGAUGUUGUGGCCAGCAUGGGAGGUGCAAUGGUGAGUUGCUCUGUUUCCUCCCUCCCGUCCCCCUCCCCACCCCUCCCCUCCCCCUCCCCUCCCCCUCCCCUCCCUUCCCCUUCCCUUCCCUUCCUCUCUCACAAAACAGUCACAGAGAGAGGACAGCAGCGUACAUGGUGAGGUGCUGACGAUUCUGGUCCACUGGAUCCCACCAUCCCUAGGACAGUAAAUACCGUCCUAGUCACUACCCAGCAAGUUACCACCGCAUCAUUUCCUGCAUGUUCCAAAAUGAAU
RNAcentral lists this long non-coding RNA (2358 nucleotides) under Homo sapiens (human). RNAcentral's name for it is "non-protein coding lnc-ZNF273-1:7". Lineage: Eukaryota; Metazoa; Chordata; Mammalia; Primates; Hominidae. The record is from RNAcentral.